This is a long non-coding RNA of Dermochelys coriacea (leatherback sea turtle), 1838 nucleotides long. RefSeq lists it as uncharacterized. The record is from RefSeq and is a predicted model, not a curated record. The transcript has 3 exons. Lineage: Eukaryota; Metazoa; Chordata; Testudines; Dermochelyidae.
CUCUUUGCAUAAAGCUUCCUGUUCCUGCCCCACCCCUUAUCUGAGCAAUUAAUAGACCUGUUGCUGACUAGAACUCUGAGACUAAGUUCCAGUUCCUGCUCAUUUUUCCUGUUACCCUGACAUGUACCUUAUUCCUGCUCUUUACCUUAACUCCAGUUAUUGAUUAUGGCUUGACUCCUUGGUGUACCUCUGGGUCCAGUCUGACCCUUGGCAUGGCUUCUAACUCUGACUUCAGCUUUGAUCCCAAUGUGAUUCUGGUUACAACUCUGGUUUAAUUCCUGAGGUGGCUUCUAACUCUGAUCCUGGCUUGGCCCUGUGUGAUUCUGACUCAGGUUUAAUCCUUGCCAAGGCUUCUGACUCUUGGUGUGACUACUGACCCUGAUGCUACUUUGAGCUGUGACCAUUAGGUCAGACUGCUCACAUUACAGAUACUGACAGUUGUGAACAACUUACACUGCAGUCUUGUCCUUUGCUGAGAAGGGAAGAAAGAACACAAUAGCUACUGUUGCAUUUUGGAGGUCUCUCUUUAGAUUUGAUGACUAGUUCUUGGGAAAUUACUGAGAGACAAUUAAGUUGUGUUCAGCUAAAGCAUUUCUUUUGCCAUGUUACUAUAGCUAUUCAUGUAUUCCCAGCUCUCAGUGAAUACAGGGAAGAAAGGAUGUAUAUCCAGUUUCUAACAGUGUUUGUGUGUGACUUGGAACACUAUAGACUGUGUCAGAAUCAUAGAUUUCAUGUUAUUUUAAUUCCUCUUUGAUGUGCCAAAUUGUUAUGUGAAACAUUAUUUUCAGCAUAGCCCUGUAUUUCUCUUAGCUACCUCCUUUGACACUGUGAGGGACUCUACAUCAUCACCACCAGGCAGGGUUAUUUUUCCCACCACUGGAGUGCAACUAAUUUGUUUAUUGAGUUAUUUGUUCAUUUGAAAAUGACUUUAGGUUAUAACUACUUUCUCUUUUAGCUGAUGAUAGAAAACAAAAAUGCAUCCAACCGAAUCCGUUCCUCAAAGAAACAGAGCACAUAAUUAGUUGUUACCUAAUAAAAUUAGGAGGUCAUACAUCAAAGGAACAGAAAUUACACCCGUUCCUCAUCUUGAUUAGAAUUCUCAAAUUUACUGCAGUAUGCCCCUAUUUCCUGCUGGCUGUUCUUCUUCAUCAGUAACAAAUCCCUUUAGAAGUUGUUGAUAAUAAAUACAUGGGGCUGAUUAAACCUGUAAAACAAUUUUGCUUAUUUGCAGUUUCAAUCCUUCUGUGGUUUCUUAUUCAUUCUUUGAAAGGUUUCCAUUUACUGCCUGGGAUUUCCGUGACUGUGAAACUGAAAUACUUAACAAUCAACAAUGAAGGAGGAAAAUGAGUCACUGAGGAGAGACAAGAAUUUUUCAAUAUCAAACUAAGGAUUCUGGGAAGAUCAAGAAGUCAUGCAACAUAUGGGUCUCCUCUGAUGUGUCACGUGUGGAUGGCAUUGGAGCACAAAGCAGGCCCAGCUGAGGAUCUCUGGAAAUGAGAAAUCUGCAGUGAAUGAAGUUACUUUUUCAAAGACGUCCCAAUGUGCUCUCUAUUCAGCCAAGAAAGGGGAAGAAGCCAAGAAAUUGGAGCUUGGGACUCCCCACAGGUGAAGACUACAGGCCAAGCUCUCCUUGCAGGCAUAUACAUGCCUGCAUGGCUUGAAAGUAAAUGGUACAUAAAAUGGAAAAAUCUGGUAUUGUGGUGGGUGCCUGUUUCUGUGCAACUCUGCAAAAAAGUGCUCUUUUUCUCACUGGAGAUUGUGAUGAAAUGUUUGUUUGGCUGCGCACAGUGGAUAGAAGCUGUGUGCUUUCUCUAAUCCUGCUAAUAUUUGGACUGACA